Molecule: ribosomal RNA, 422 nt
Filed under: uncultured bacterium
Lineage: Bacteria
Description: partial 16S ribosomal RNA
Rfam family: Bacterial small subunit ribosomal RNA
Source: RNAcentral
UUUUGGACAAUGGGGGAAACCCUGAUCCAGCCAUCUCGCGUGUAAGAUGAAGGCCUUAGGUUUGUAAAGUACUUUUGGCAGAGAAGAAAAGGUAUCCCCUAAUACGGGAUACUGCAGUCGGUAUCUGCAGAAUAAGCACCGGCGAACUCCGUGACAGCAGCCGCGGUAAUACGUAGGGUGCAAGCGUUAAUCGGAAUUAAUGGGCGUAAUGCGUGUUGAGGCUGUUCGGAAAAAAAGAUGUGAAAUCCCAGGGCUCAACCUUGGAACUUCAUUUUUAACUGCCGAGCUAGAGUAUGUCAGAGGGGGGUAGAAUUCCACGUGUAGCAGUGAAAUGCGUAGAUAUGUGGCGGAAUACCGAUGGCGAAGGCAGCCCCCUGGGAUAAUACUGACGCUCAGACACGAAAGCGUGGGGAGCAAACAGG